This 145-nucleotide small RNA is filed under the name Phormidium ambiguum. RNAcentral's name for it is "Guanidine-I sequence". It matches the Rfam family "Guanidine-I riboswitch aptamer". Rfam says of the family: This family represents a conserved RNA structure found upstream of the ykkC and yxkD genes in Bacillus subtilis and related genes in other bacteria. The function of this family is unclear although it has been suggested that it may function to switch on efflux pumps and detoxification systems in response to harmful environmental molecules. The record is from RNAcentral. Lineage: Bacteria; Bacillati; Cyanobacteriota; Cyanophyceae; Oscillatoriales; Oscillatoriaceae. RNAcentral also lists the same sequence under 1 other name.
AUUAAUAGCUUCUAGGGUUCCGGUUUGGAUUUAAAAAACGAGAAAGUUUUGCCAAAUGCUGGUCCGAGAGAAGCAGCUGGCAAACUUCAAAGUUUAUUUUUGGAUAGAUUAGCUAGCCACACGGCGGGGGAAAAGCCCGGGAGAA